UUGAAAGGCCUCCAAAAAAGCAUGACAUUCAAUCAAAGUUCAGCAAGGAAAGUUUUAAUGAAUAAACUUAGUAAAUUAGAAAGCACUGCGGCAGAGUGAUUAACUCUCAUUUGGGCAUUAGUGUUGAAAUUAAUUAAAAUGUUUAAGCCAUAGGAGGCAGGCUACCUCGUCAGGACCUGGCUCUGCCCUCGGAGUCAGUCUGGAUCCAGGAGUGAUUCAUCUUACACAGAUGAGAGGGGGAUAAAAGGAAAAGAACAGUCAGGACAAAUGUGUUUUCAAUGGUGCUUAGCAGCAGGAGACCACUGGGACUUCAGAGCAACGCUACUGGAGUGUGACAUCAUAAUACGCCAAAUACCAGAGUCUCUCGCCUCUUGGAGUUUAUGGGCCAAUUUCUCCCAAGAUGUGUGAGCUUGUUGUGCCGCCGCCAGUGGACUCGCCAGCGGCUGAGCAGCUCAGAGUGACAGCGACUCAGCGUCUGGAAGCCCCACUGGGUUGUGAAAUGAAGAAGGCCUUCUUUGCCCCUGAUGCAGCCUGGGCGAGCCCCGAGGCUCCAGAAGCGAGCAUCUCCCAGCUCCUAAAGAGCAGACAUAUAUCCUGCCUUUAAGACAAGACUACAAUUGCAAAUCUGAGAAUAUAAAUUACACUUUCAUCUUUCUUUGGUUUUCUUUCUUUUGCUUCAGUUUUCAUUCCAGGAUAAACUUUCCUGUCAAAGGGACAUUUCUGAUGUGUCAAAUUCACCACUAUAAUGAACAGGUUGACAAAUGUGGAAGGUGAGCAGACAUUUGGAUCUGCCGCAGCUGCCUGCAGCCAGAGGAAACCAUGACUUUCACAAGGAUAACGAGGCUUUGAAAGAUGGCGAAAAUGUCGCCAUCAACCUGCCCUUCUGCUACUUAGUAAUUAGAUAAUUAGUCAGGCCCUAAUUAUGGGAUCAGGGUGCAGGAAAACAAUUAGCUGAAAGAAUUACUAUAUAAAACUGAAACGGAGAUUCCUGAAAACAAUAUUUAAUUUUAUGAUAUUAAUAUCUGCAGCAAUAAUGGGAGUCCUUGGCUGAUGCCACCCGUGUGCCUAGGCAUCCGGAAGGCAAGCUGGGUAUUCUCCUUCUGAGAGCUGGAUGUCAACACGAAAAUGAAUCCUGUGACACUGUCUUUUCAGGACCCCAUGUGUGCCCAGGCAGGAAGUUUGUGGCUGUUGCGUGUCAGCCAAGUGUGUACAUACCUGUGCCACACACACUUGCCUACAAACUCCCAAUUCCUUCCCCAGGCCCCAAGAAGCUACCAAAUAUGUCUCCGGCUGCAAAGAAAAAUGGGGCCGGCUCAUAAAUUCUUCUUGCAUAUGGUAUGAGAGAGUAAACAGGUAAACAAGUUUUCAAAUGCCUUCCUCCAACCUGGAAUUAUUAACACAUUGUCUUGUUAUCAUGAUUAAAAUUAAAUGAUGUUCCAGGCUCUUUGACAAAUGAAUUUGGAAUGGUUACAGUAAUGGCAUUACUUUAAAUUAUGAAACCAGGGAGAAAAAAAAGAGAGACAAAGAGAGAAAAUUGAGCCUAACAGCCUGAUCCUUAACUAUUAUUUACCUAUUAUCUGAGAGAAUUGAAUCUCGCUGUGCUGCGGCAGAGAAUAAUAAAAGAUUUGUAGGCUUUACAAGGCCCUGUCCUCCCAUCCAGCAAGCACCAAUUCCCAGGGGCUCCAUUGCGAGCCCUGGCUCAGCUUGUCUGAUCAUUUAUCCAUAAUUAGAAAAUUAAUAUUUUAGAUGGCGCUAUGAUGAACCCAUUAUGGUGAUGGGCCCCGAUAUCAAUUAUAACUUCAAUUUCAAUUUCACUUACAGCCGAGUAAUGGGUCCUGGUGGCGGUGUAGAGAUGGGCUGGAGCUUCAGAGCAUGACGAAUACAGAUCACUGCACAUUAGGAUGAGCAAUUAUUUGAACAUGUAUAAAAACUAUUUACAAGCAAUGUAAUUGACCGGGGUCAGGGGGAGAUGCUGAAAAAUGGACAGGUUGACAAAUUCUUGUUCCAUACCAACAGAAAGGAUUUAUUAAUUUCUUUGGCUGUAAUUGAAUUUUUGAAAGGUUCUUGUUAAGCUUGCCCUGCUUUGCUCAUCUCCUGUGCUGACCUUCCAUAGAUCUGAUGCUAUAGCUCCUGCUUGCUUCCGUAGCCCUUGGCAGGGAGAUUGCUGAUGGAAUUUAUAAAAAAACAAGCAGCCACUUUCAAAAUAGAUUCAGCAGAGAAUAACAGAACCACCACUCUACUAUUGUGUAACUUUCUCUUUGGAAAAAAAAAGGCUCAUAAUCUUGUGGAUAUUCCAGCUAAACACUGAGGGUUUCAAUUCUACAUUUUACCAAUUUUAAGGCUGACGUGAGCAGUGAUUUAAAGGUGAAGUAACCUUUCAGUGAUAUAACAAAGUUCAAUUUUAAUAAAAUGGAUAAAAGCAGUUUUUACCAUUUGCAGCUGAGUAGACAUCAAAGCCAUGUGUCUCUUCUAUUUCUCUUUAACCAUUUGUGUUUCCUAAGAUAAUGUUACCAAUUAUUUAAAAUUCCCUUUGGGAGGAAGGAGGGAGAAUAAGAAAUAAUUAUUUGCGGGGGGUUGGGGGUAUUAUUUUCACUGUGAUCUGUGCCCAGACCUCUCUACCUGAGAAGCUCUUCUCCCUUCCCCUUCCAUUCUUCCCGAGCUGGCUCUGCUAGAUCCAUGAACGCCCAGUUUUAACAAUUCCUUUUCAAGAACACACAAACAGACGGAUGGCAAAUAUGCAAAGCGGGAGGAAUGGCUUCCCAGACUCAGGCAACACACACCUUCUUCCAAAACGCGUAAACUCUGAGCAGGCUUGGGGCUGAGGCAGGCAGCAAGGCAGCCCAGCGAAAUCACACCAAAUCAGAGCGAAAGAUAAAUUAUGAAAAUAUCUCAGUGUCUUUAUUUGUUAAUUUUCCAUGGCCUUGGGAUGCUGCUGCUGGUUUUGUCCUGGCAUUGCCUCAUGCAUUUGCUCUUGUUUUUUUGAUGUCAGUUUAAUUGUUCACUGUCAGGGGCAGAGCAGCAGAUAACAAGCUUAGCAAAUGAUGUCUGCUGUUG
This 3054-nucleotide long non-coding RNA is filed under the name Homo sapiens (human). Its description in RNAcentral is "HSALNT0008065". The record is from RNAcentral. Lineage: Eukaryota; Metazoa; Chordata; Mammalia; Primates; Hominidae.